AUGAUCAAAAUAGGGACUUCCAUUCCUAAAUCAAACAUUUUCAGGUUUGAAAUCUUUUGGCUUCACCACAACACUUUCAAAGAGAUGGUGGCCAAUGCUUGGCACAUACAUGUGGGUUACACUGACCCUGCUAAUAAAAUUAUUGCUAAAUUUAAGAAUUUGAGAAGAGCUAUUAAGUUAUGGGCAAAGCAAUUGUCAGAUCUUAAAAAGCAAAUUGCCACCUUGAAUGACUGGAUUGGAUUAUUUGAUACUUUUGAGGAGUUCAGAGAGUUAAGUCUUUGGGAAUGGAAUUGCAGAUCUAUUCUUAAAGAAGAAUUACUUGUGGUCCUUAAGGACCAAAGGAUUUAUUGGAAGCAAAGAGGGAAAAUCAAAGGGGUUAAAUUUGGAGAUGAGAACACAAAAAAAAUUCACACAAAAGCAACCAUAAACCAUAGGCACAAUCACAUUGCUAUUCUUCAGAAUGAUGACCAGGUGGAGAUUACUGAUCAUGAUGGAAAAGCAGCUAUUUUGUGGAAUGCUUUCAAAGCAAAGAUUGGGCACGACCGAAGAAACUACUAUGCAUUUUGA
This 567-nucleotide ribosomal RNA is filed under the name Triticum aestivum (bread wheat). Its description in RNAcentral is "partial small subunit ribosomal RNA". The record is from RNAcentral. Lineage: Eukaryota; Viridiplantae; Streptophyta; Magnoliopsida; Poales; Poaceae.